UACGAAGGGGGCUAGCGUUGCUCGGAAUCACUGGGCGUAAAGGGUGCGUAGGCGGGUCUUUAAGUCAGGGGUGAAAUCCUGGAGCUCAACUCCAGAACUGCCUUUGAUACUGAAGAUCUUGAGUCCGGGAGAGGUGAGUGGAACUGCGAGUGUAGAGGUGAAAUUCGUAGAUAUUCGCAAGAACACCAGUGGCGAAGGCGGCUCACUGGCCCGAUACUGACGCUGAGGCACGAAAGCGUGGGGAGCAAACAGG
Molecule: ribosomal RNA, 253 nt
Filed under: uncultured bacterium
Lineage: Bacteria
Description: partial 16S ribosomal RNA
Rfam family: Bacterial small subunit ribosomal RNA
Source: RNAcentral